RNAcentral lists this long non-coding RNA (976 nucleotides) under Homo sapiens (human). RNAcentral's name for it is "HSALNT0119428". Lineage: Eukaryota; Metazoa; Chordata; Mammalia; Primates; Hominidae. The record is from RNAcentral.
CCUGGACAAGCCUCGGAGGACCAGGCAGAACCCUCUGGCUAGCAGAAAAGCUCGCACCCCCGCACCCUUGCGGCGUCUGCUUCAGACCCUCCACGCAGGCGCCCGCUGGAGCGCCUGCUGGGGAUGGCGUACCACCGACCCUUCAGGCUUUUUAAAAACCUCUCCAAGAGCUCGGUCAUGAAGGAGAUAUAGACGAUGGCCAGGCGGAGGGUCUCGAUCCGGGACAGCCUUUUCUCGUAAACUUUUUUGAAGCUCAGUGUAUGUACUUUAAAAUUCGCAAAUUAUAUACAUGCAGCUUCAUGAAUUUUCAAAGUGAAUGUAUCCAUGAAACCAGUGCCCAAAUCAAGAAAUGGAAUGCCUUUUUGAAGUUUGAGGUAAUGUAAGAACAGUUAAGUUUAUAGCUUGAGACUGUUUCACAAAGUGAGCAUAUGCAUAAUCUAUAAAAAUAAAUUAUAUUCUGUAUACUAUUGUGUCUUUCAGUCAAUAUUUUAUUUAUGCAAUUUGUGCAUAUUCUCAUUGUUGAAUAAUAUUUCACUGUGUAAAUAUACCACUAUUUAUUUGUUCUUUCCUUUUCUUGUUGGUGGACAUUUGGAUAGUUUCCAAUUUUUAGUUACUACAAAUAGCAGUGUCAUAGAGGUUAUUGUACAUAUCUUUUUGUGAGUACAUUUAUCCUUUCCUGUUUGGGAUACACCUGGAAUUGGAAUAGAUUAUGCAUAUGUUCAGUUUUAGUGGUUACUAUAAAAUUGUUUUCCAAAAUGGUUGUAAUAAUUUACACUGUCACAAAUGAUAUAUUGGAGUUCCAAUUUCUUCACAUCCUCGCCAAUACUUGCCAUUUUCUAUCUUUUUAAUUUAAGCUGUUUUAAAGAUGUGUAUGGGUAUCACAUUUCAGUUUUAAUUUACAUUUCCCUGAUGAUAAGUAAAAUUGAGCACCAUUUCUUGUUAGCCGAUUAGUUACUGACUCUUUAAUAAAGUACUG